Molecule: ribosomal RNA, 492 nt
Filed under: uncultured bacterium
Lineage: Bacteria
Description: partial 16S ribosomal RNA
Rfam family: Bacterial small subunit ribosomal RNA
Source: RNAcentral
AGUGAACGCUGGCGGUAGGCCUAACACAUGCAAGUCGAACGGCAGCACAGUAAGAGCUUGCUCUUACGGGUGGCGAGUGGCGGACGGGUGAGGAAUACAUCGGAAUCUACUUUUUCGUGGGGGAUAACGUAGGGAAACUUACGCUAAUACCGCAUACGACCUACGGGUGAAAGCAGGGGAUCUUCGGACCUUGCGCGAUUGAAUGAGCCGAUGUCGGAUUAGCUAGUUGGCGGGGUAAAGGCCCACCAAGGCGACGAUCCGUAGCUGGUCUGAGAGGAUGAGAAGCAGAAAUGGAAAGGAGAGACGGUCAAGAAGCAUAAGGGAGGAAGCAGUGGGGAAUAUUGGACAAGGGGCGGAAGCCUGAUCCAGCCAUAACGAGUGAGUGAAGAAGGCAUGCGGGUUGGAAAGCCUUUUUGUGGGGAAAGAAAAGAAGCAGGUUAAUAACCAGCUGUUAUGACGGUAAAAAAAGAAUAAGAAACGGCUAACUUCGUG